RNA transcript from Brassica rapa (field mustard), 687 nucleotides. It is a transcript of the gene named NADH dehydrogenase [ubiquinone] 1 beta subcomplex subunit 10-B, with no coding region annotated. The record is from RefSeq and is a predicted model, not a curated record. NCBI's taxonomy places the organism in Eukaryota, Viridiplantae, Streptophyta, Magnoliopsida, Brassicales, Brassicaceae.
UGUCCCAACUAAAAAUCAAUCGACGAAAGAGAAGAGAAAAGAAGCAAUGGGGAGAAAGAAGGGAUUGCCGGAGUUCGAAGAGACGGCGCCGGAUGGAUUUGAUCCGGAGAAUCCGUACAAGGAUCCGGUGGCGAUGGUGGAAAUGAGAGAGCACAUCGUUAGGGAGAAGUGGAUCCAAAUCGAGAAGGCUAAGAUCUUGAGGGAGAAGGUGAAAUGGUGUUACCGCGUGGAAGGCGUCAACCACUACCAGAAAUGCCGUAUUCUCGUACAGCAGUAUCUCGACUCCACCCGCGGCGUCGGCUGGGGAAAAGAUCACCGUCCUAUCUCCCUCCACGGUCCUAAGCCUGAGGCUGUUGAAGCUGAAUAAUAAUGCUUGGUGUCUGAUCAACCUGAGGUGAGUUGAAUUCGGCAUUUCUGGCUCUAGUGAUAAUGGUGUGAUGCUUUAUGGUUUAGUUAAGGUUUCUUCAGAUAUGAAACUGUGACCGAGCUUUUAGCACAAGACAUGAAAAUGGUCUUUGGACUGUGCAGAUUUGCUCCUGUUUUCUUUUUUCUGUUCUUUUGGAAACAUGGCAGUCUUUGGACUGUAGAUUCAUGUAACGUUUGUACGAGCUUGAGUAAUGUAUUGCUACACUCACCAGUCAAUAUUAGUCUCUCGCUAUCAAAUAAGUCUCUUUUUCCACUGCUUUA